This 253-nucleotide ribosomal RNA is filed under the name uncultured bacterium. RNAcentral describes it as "partial 16S ribosomal RNA". It matches the Rfam family "Bacterial small subunit ribosomal RNA", at positions 524 to 776 of the family's 1533-position model. The record is from RNAcentral.
UACGUAGGGUGCGAGCGUUAAUCGGAAUUACUGGGCGUAAAGCGUGCGCAGGCGGUUCGUUGUGUCGGUGGUGAAAUCCCCGGGCUUAACCUGGGAAUGGCCAUGGAAACUGGCGAACUGGAGUGCGGCAGAGGGGGGUGGAAUUCCGCGUGUAGCAGUGAAAUGCGUAGAGAUGCGGAGGAACACCGAUGGCGAAGGCAGCCCCCUGGGCUAGCACUGACGCUCAGGCACGAAAUCGUGGGGAGCAAACAGG